Molecule: ribosomal RNA, 614 nt
Filed under: uncultured bacterium
Lineage: Bacteria
Description: bacterial SSU rRNA
Rfam family: Bacterial small subunit ribosomal RNA
Source: RNAcentral
CGAUUCAGUUACCUUCGGGUAAUGAGGAUGGCGGACGGGUGAGUAACGCGUAAGGAACUUGCCUCUUGGACUGGGACAACUGUUGGAAACGACAGCUAAUACCGGAUAUUAUGAGAUUCUCGCAUGAGAAACUUAUGAAAGCUAUAUGCGCCAAGAGAGAGCCUUGCGUUCCAUUAGCUAGUUGGUGGGGUAACGGCCCACCAAGGCGACGAUGGAUAGCCGGCCUGAGAGGGUGAACGGCCACAAGGGGACUGAGACACGGCCCUUACUCCUACGGGAGGCAGCAGUGGGGAAUAUUGGACAAUGGGCCACAAGCCUGAUCCAGCAAUUCUGUGUGCACGAUGAAGGUCUUCGGAUUGUAAAGUGCUUUCAGUUGGGAAGAAGAAAGUGACGGUACCAACAGAAGAAGCGACGGCUAAAUACGUGCCAGCAGCCGCGGUAAUACGUAUGUCGCAAGCGUUAUCCGGAUUUAUUGGGCGUAAAGCGCGUCUAGGCGGAAAAAUAAGUCUGAUGUUAAAAUGCGGGGCUCAACUCCGUAUUGCGUUGGAAACUGUUUUUCUAGAGUACUGGAGAGGUGGGCGGAACUACAAGUGUAGAGGUGAAAUUCGUAGAUA